AUUGAACGCUGGCGGCAUGCCUUACACAUGCAAGUCGAACGGCAGCACGGGAGCAAUCCUGGUGGCGAGUGGCGAACGGGUGAGUAAUAUAUCGGAACGUGCCCAGUCGUGGGGAUAACGUAGCGAAAGCUACGCUAAUACCGCAUACGAUCUAUGGAUGAAAGCGGGGGAUCGCAAGACCUCGCGCGAUUGGAGCGGCCGAUAUCAGAUUAGGUAGUUGGUGAGGUAAAGGCUCACCAAGCCGACGAUCUGUAGCUGGUCUGAGAGGACGACCAGCCACACUGGGACUGAGACACGGCCCAGACUCCUACGGGAGGUAGCAGUGGGGAAUAUUGGACAAUGGGCGAAAGCCUGAUCCAGCAAUGCCGCGUGAGUGAUGAAGG
Molecule: ribosomal RNA, 383 nt
Filed under: uncultured bacterium
Lineage: Bacteria
Description: bacterial SSU rRNA
Rfam family: Bacterial small subunit ribosomal RNA
Source: RNAcentral